RNAcentral lists this ribosomal RNA (3831 nucleotides) under Triticum aestivum (bread wheat). RNAcentral's name for it is "partial small subunit ribosomal RNA". Lineage: Eukaryota; Viridiplantae; Streptophyta; Magnoliopsida; Poales; Poaceae. The record is from RNAcentral.
AUGGAGGCGACAGUGCUGAGCGUGGGCAAGUCCGCGGUGAAGGGGGCGCUCGGCUACGCCCAGUCCGCCAUCGCGGCGGAGGUGGCGCUGCAGCUGGGGGUGCAGCGCGACCAGGCCUUCAUCAGGGACGAGCUCGACAUGAUGCAGGCCUUCCUGAUGGCUGCGCACGGCGAGCAAGAUGACGGCAAGGUGGUCGGGACCUGGGUGAAGCAGGUCCGCGACCUGGGCUACGAUGUCGAGGACUGCCUCCAGGACCUGGCUGUCCGCCUCGAGAAGCCAUCCUGGUGGCGUUUCCUCAGGACACUGCUCGACCGGCGCCAUGUGGCUAAGCAGAUGAAGGACCUGCGGGAGAAGGUCGAGGAUGUCAGCCAGAGGAACUUGAGGUACCGCCUCAUCAGGGGGCCCGCCGCUGCUGCUGACUCCAAGCAAGUCGCCACCACCGCCGAGCAAAACCUCGCAGGUAGCGCGACGAUGUUCGGCAUCGAUGAGGCGAGGCGUGCCAUGAAGCGGGACAGGCCGAGAGUGGACCUUGCCCAGCUUAUCAAUGGGGAGGGCAAGGACCUUAGAGUCAUUGCCGUGUGGGGAACAUGUGGUGUUCUUGGGCAGGCGUCCGUGAUACGAAAGGUGUAUGAUGAUGCAGACAAGUUUGAAUGCCGUGCCUGGAUCAAGCUUACACAUCCUUUCGAUCCGAUCAUGUUCAUGCGAAACAUCAUGAGGCAGUUCUAUGGAUGUUCUUUUCCAGAACUGGCAACAACUGAGGGUCAAAGCUGUCAAGAAAGAGCAACCACUGUAGGCGCUCAUGUUCUCAAAAAGAUGCUGACAAUAAAGCAAGAAGAUUUGGUUGACGAGUUCAAUGAGCAUGUGAAUAACAAGAGUUACCUGAUUGUUCUUAACGACCUGUGUACCAUAGAAGAUUGGGACUGGAUCAAAACUUACUUUCCCGUCAAUGAUAAUGGAAACCGGAUCAUUGUGGCCACACAGCAAGUUGAAGUUGCAAGCUUGUGCGUAGGUAAAAAGUGCCAAGUCUCGGAGCUGAAGCAAUUAUCCGCUGAUCAGACUCUCUAUGUUUUCUACAACAAGGGCCCUCAAGGUGGAACAUAUUCAAUGAAACCAGAGUCGAGCUCAAGCACAUACUCCACUUGUAAUAGCUCUAUAGUGCCCAGCAGUGAGAUACCAACUGGUGAUCAGGCUACAGAUGCUGCUGGUGGAAAGAAUGCUAUGCCAAGAAGGAGCCUCACUCGCAUCAUGUCGAUGACGGCUGCUUUGGAGAAAUCUCUGGUUGUUGGGAGGGAGGCAGAAAAAUCUCACAUCCUCGAACUAAUUUCAGAUGCAUCAAGCAAAGAAUUUCAGGUGAUCUCAGUGUGGGGAAUGGGUGGUCUUGGGAAAACUGCCCUAGUCACAGAUAUCUACCAAAGCCAAAAACUCGGUGGUGCAUUUAAAAAGCGUGCUUGUGUCACGGUCAUGAAACCUUUCAAUCGCGAGGAACACCUUAGGAGAUUAGUUAUGCAACUAGACGUAGAAGCAUCUGAAGAGUAUGACACAAUGCAUUCAUUGGGUAGUGCACAAAACAAAUUGCCACGACCGGCUGAGGAGCUGAAGUAUGAGCUGGAAAGGCUUCUGAAAGAAAAGAGGUGCUUGAUUGUCUUUGAUGACUUGUCAUCUACCACCGAAUGGGACUUGAUAAGUGGAGACUUACCUCAGACAAAAAAUGCAAGCCGGAUCAUAGUCACCACACGGGAAGUGAGUAUUGCCAAUUAUUGUUCAAAGAAGAAACAAGAAAAUGUAUGCAGGCUCGAAAGUCUGAAAGAGAAGCAUGCGCUUGACCUCUUCACAAAAAAGGUAUUUAAGGAGAAUGAAGAUCUGCAUCGGCACUAUCCUGAGCUGGUUGAGCAAGCGGAACAAAUCCUGAAGAAGUGCAACGGACUUCCUCUUGCAAUAGUUGCCAUUGGUGGCUUCUUGGCAAAUCAACCAAAGACUACCAUGGAGUGGAGAAAAUUGAAUGAGAAUCUUAGUUCUGAGUUGGAGAUGAUUCCAGAGCUUGACACCAUAAGAACAGUCCUUCUCAAAAGCUACAAUGGUUUACCCUAUCAUCUCAAGGCUUGUUUCUUGUAUCUGGCAAUCUUUCCUGAAGACUACAAGAUUAGUCUAAGACGUUUGGUCCGGCGGUGGAUAGCAGAGGGUUACUCAAGAGAGGUACGCGGCAAGUCUGCGCAUGAAGUAGCGGAGAGCUACUUCAUGGACCUUAUAAGCAGGAGCAUGAUCCUGCCAUCCCAACUAUCAAGUCACAGCAGAAAAGAGAUUGACUCUUGCCAACUCCAUGAUAUUAUCCGUGACAUCAGCAUCUCAAAGUCAGCGGAGGAAAAUCUUGUUUUCAGGUUGGAGGAGGGUUGCGGCUUAAACAACCAAGGCACAACACGUCACCUCUGUGUCAGCAGCAACUGGAAGGGAGACCGGAGUGAAUUCGAGGGCAUGGUGGACCUGUCUCGUGUCCGAUCAAUAACAAUUUUUGGGAAGUGGAGGCCAUUCUUCAUUUCAGACAAGAUGAGAUUGCUGCGAGUGUUGGACUUGGAAGGUACAUCAGGUCUAGUUGAUCAUCACCUCAAGCACAUUGGGAAGCUUUUCCACUUGAGAUACCUUUCACUGAGAGAAUGUCAUGGAAUUUAUCAUCUGCCAAGUUCUUUGGGCAACCUGAGGCAACUCCAGACACUAGAUGUCACGGGUACAUACAUAAUCAAGCUGCCUAAGACCAUCAUCAAGCUCAGGAAGCUACAGCACCUUCGUGCCAGGGGAGUUGGGAACAACGAUGAUUGUCCAGAGUAUCCAGAAGAGGUGCCGGACAUAAUGAGGAACAAGCUAUGCAUGUUGACAUCCUCCUCGGUAGGAUUUUGCGUGGCAUGCUGUGCACCUCACCUUCUGAAAGAGUGCAUGGGCAUAGAUGGGGACACCAACAGACGUGAUGUCUGCACCGCAUGCUGCUGUACCUAUCUGCCUAUGCAGGUGACACGCCGGAGCCGGCGUGGUGUCGCAGUGCCUAGAGGGAUCCACAAGCUCAAAGCCCUUCACACACUGGGUAUCGUUAACAUCUCAAGGAGGAAGGCUGCUCUCCGAGAGGUAGCGAGGCUCACCGGGCUACGCAAGCUGGGAGUGACCGGAAUCAAUGAUAGCAAUGGUGGAGAGCUAUGUUCAGCCCUUUCUAAUCUCAGCUCCCUAGAAACAUUGCUGGUGCAGUCUGAAGGGAAGCCCGGUUUAUUUGGCUGCUUGGAUGCCCUGUCUACUCCUCCGGAAAAGCUUGAGAGCCUCAAGCUGUACGGCAACCUGGUCAGACUGCCGGCAUGGAUCAAUGGUGGGCUGCUAACAAAUCUGGCCAAGCUGAAGCUGCGGAGCUCCAGGAUAUCAGACCAUGAUGCCACCAUACAAGUCCUUGGGAGCCUACCAAACCUAGCCAUCCUGCGUCUGCGGAAAGAUUCGUUUGAGGGAGAAGAGGUCCAUCUCCAUUUUCGUUGGGGUGAAUCGUUCCCAAGCCUAAUGGUGCUGGAACUGAGUUCCCCAGGUAAGCUCAAAUCUGUGGAGUUCCAAAAGGGAGCGACCCCUAAGCUUGAGCUGCUGCAGUAUUACGAUCAGCCUGAUCACGAUCAGGAGGAUCUUGUCUCAAAAGAGAAUGAUGAUCAGUUUGAAGAGGCUCCCAGCAUUUGGUUGUUUUCUGGGCUAGCAUAUCUGGGAAGGCUCAAGAAAGUUGUGCUAGAGGGUGGCAACUAUAAACGCGACUUCGUGCGGAACCUGCGAUCCCAGCUUGAGUCAAAUCUGAAUCGACCUGUUCUCAAGAUGGACUGA